This 1395-nucleotide ribosomal RNA is filed under the name Janibacter cremeus. RNAcentral's name for it is "partial 16S ribosomal RNA". It matches the Rfam family "Bacterial small subunit ribosomal RNA", at positions 55 to 1428 of the family's 1533-position model. Lineage: Bacteria; Bacillati; Actinomycetota; Actinomycetes; Micrococcales; Intrasporangiaceae. The record is from RNAcentral.
AUGCAGUCGUACAGGGUACCGGAGCUUGCUUGGGGUGGAUCAGUGGCGAACGGGUGAGUAACACGUGAGCAACCUGCCCCAGACUCCGGAAUAAGCGCUGGAAACGGCGUCUAAUACUGGAUAUGAGAUCAGUCCGCAUGGGCAUGGUCUGGAAAGUUUUUCGGUCUGGGAUGGGCUCGCGGCCUAUCAGCUUGUUGGUGAGGUAAUGGCUCACCAAGGCGACGACGGGUAGCCGGCCUGAGAGGGCGACCGGCCACACUGGGACUGAGACACGGCCCAGACUCCUACGGGAGGCAGCAGUGGGGAAUAUUGNCMCAAUGGGCGANAAGCCUGAUGCANGCGACGNCCSCKURAGGGAUGACGGCCNUUCGGGUUGUAAACCUCNUUUCAGCAGGGAAGAAGCNGCAAGUGANCGGUACCUGCAGNAAGAAGCACCNGGCUAACUACGUGNCCAGCAGNCCGCGGUAAUACGUAGGGUGCGAGCGUUGUCCGGAAUUAUUGGGCGUAAARGGCUUGUAGGCGGUUUGUCGCGUCUGCUGUGAAAAUCCGAGGCUCAACCUNCGGACUUGCAGUGGGUACGGGCAGACUAGAGUGUGGUAGGGGAGACUGGAAUUCCUGGUGUAGCGGUGAAAUGCGCAGAUAUCAGGAGGAACACCGAUGGCGAAGGCAGGUCUCUGGGCCACUACUGACGCUGAGAAGCGAAAGCAUGGGGAGCGAACAGGAUUAGAUACCCUGGUAGUCCAUGCCGUAAACGUUGGGCGCUAGGUGUGGGACUCAUUCCACGAGUUCCGUGCCGCAGCUAACGCAUUAAGCGCCCCGCCUGGGGAGUACGGCCGCAAGGCUAAAACUCAAAGGAAUUGACNGGGGGCCCGCACAAGCGGCGGAGCAUGCGGAUUAAUUCGAUGCAACGCGNAARAACCUUACCAAGGCUUGACAUAUACCNGGUAACACCCAGNAGAUGGGUGCCCCUUNUUUGGUCGGKAUANCAGGUGGNUGCAUGGNUUGUNCGUCAGCUCSUNGYCGUGAGAUGUUNNGGGUUAAGUNCCCGCAACNGAGCNGCAACCCNUCGNUUCUAUGUNUGCCAGCANCGNUAAUGGUGGGGACUCAUGGAAGACUGCCGGGGUCAACUCGGAGGAAGGUGGGGAUGACGUCAAAUCAUCAUGCCCCUUAUGUCUUGGGCUUCACGCAUGCUACAAUGGCCGGUACAAUGGGCUGCGAAACCGCAAGGUGGAGCGAAUCCCAAAAAACCGGUCUCAGUUCGGAUUGGGGUCUGCAACUCGACCCCAUGAAGUCGGAGUCGCUAGUAAUCGCAGAUCAGCAACGCUGCGGUGAAUACGUUCCCGGGCCUUGUACACACCGCCCGUCAAGUCACGAAAGUCGGUAACACCCGAAGCC